RNAcentral lists this ribosomal RNA (253 nucleotides) under uncultured bacterium. RNAcentral's name for it is "partial 16S ribosomal RNA". It matches the Rfam family "Bacterial small subunit ribosomal RNA", at positions 524 to 776 of the family's 1533-position model. The record is from RNAcentral.
UACGUAGGGAGCAAGCGUUGUCCGGAAUCAUUGGGCGUAAAGCGCGCGUAGGCGGCCUCAUAAGUCCGUUGUGAAAGUCAAAGGCUCAACCUUUGAAAGCCGAUGGAUACUGUGAGGCUAGAGUCCGGAAGAGGCGAGUGGAAUUCCUGGUGUAGCGGUGGAAUGCGCAGAUAUCAGGAGGAACACCAAUAGCGAAGGCAGCUCGCUGGGACGGUACUGACGCUGAGACGCGAAAGCGUGGGGAGCGAACAGG